RNAcentral lists this ribosomal RNA (252 nucleotides) under uncultured bacterium. RNAcentral describes it as "partial 16S ribosomal RNA". It matches the Rfam family "Bacterial small subunit ribosomal RNA", at positions 524 to 776 of the family's 1533-position model. The record is from RNAcentral.
UACGGAGGAUGCGAGCGUUAUCCGGAUUUAUUGGGUUUAAAGGGUGCGUAGGCGGACUGUCAAGUCAGCGGUAAAAUUGAGAGGCUCAACCUCUUCCCGCCGUUGAAACUGGUGGUCUUGAGUGGAUGAGAAGUACGCGGAAUGUAUGGUGUAGCGGUGAAAUGCUUAGAGAUCAUACAGAACACCGAUUGCGAAGGCAGCUUACCAAGCUACUUCUGACGUUGAGGCACGAAAGCGUGGGGAGCAAACAGG